CGCACCCUACGGGACGCAGCAGUGGGGGAUAUUGCACAAUGGGGGGAACCCUGAUGCAGCGACGCCGCGUGGGCGAUGGAGCGCCUCGGCGCGUAAAGCCCUAUCAGCAGGGAAGAAGAUGACGGUACCUGACUAAGAAGCCCCGGCUAAAUACGUGCCAGCAGCCGCGGUAAUACGUAUGGAGCAAGCGUUAUCCGGAUUUACUGGGUGUAAAGGGAGCGCAGGCGGCAUGGCAAGUCAGAUGUGAAAGCCCGGGGCUCAACCCCGGGACUGCAUUUGAAACUGUCAGGCUGGA
Molecule: ribosomal RNA, 295 nt
Filed under: uncultured bacterium
Lineage: Bacteria
Description: partial 16S ribosomal RNA
Rfam family: Bacterial small subunit ribosomal RNA
Source: RNAcentral